This 98-nucleotide microRNA precursor is filed under the name Microtus ochrogaster (prairie vole). Its description in RNAcentral is "miRNA (ENSMOCG00000006824.1)". The stretch from base 4 to 88 matches the Rfam family "mir-692 microRNA precursor family", at positions 1 to 83 of the family's 109-position model. The record is from RNAcentral. Lineage: Eukaryota; Metazoa; Chordata; Mammalia; Rodentia; Cricetidae.
CCACAUCACCACAGGUUGGCUGCUGGACCCCAGGUGUCUCUGGGCGAGUACCUCUUUGAGCGGCUCACUCUCAAGCAUGACUCAAAGGCUCUCCUUCC